AGUGAACGCUGGCGGUAGGCCUAACACAUGCAAGUCGAACGGCAGCACAGUAAGAGCUUGCUCUUACGGGUGGGGAGUGGCGGACGGGUGAGGAAUACAUCGGAAUCUACUUUUUCGAGGGGGAGAACGUAGGGAAACUUACGCUAAUACCGCAUACGACCUACGGGGGAAAGCAGCGGAUCUUCGGACCUUACGCGAUUGUAUGAGCCGAUGUCGGAUUAGCUAGUUGGCGGGGUAAAGGCCCACCAAGGCGACGAUCCGUAGCUGGUCUGAGAGGAUGAUCAGCCACACUGGAACUGAGACACGGUCCAGACUCCUACGGGAGGCAGCAGUGGGGAAUAUUGGACAAUGGGCGCAAGCCUGAUCCAGCCAUACCGCGUGGGUGAAGAAGGCCUUCGGGUUGUAAAGCCCUUUUGUUGGGAAAGAAAAGCAGCAGGUUAAUACCCCGCUGUUCUGACGGUACCCAAAGAAUAAGCACCGGCUAACUUCGUG
RNAcentral lists this ribosomal RNA (492 nucleotides) under uncultured bacterium. RNAcentral describes it as "partial 16S ribosomal RNA". It matches the Rfam family "Bacterial small subunit ribosomal RNA", at positions 29 to 507 of the family's 1533-position model. The record is from RNAcentral.